AAAAAAAAACUGCUUCCAUUUCGCAAAAAAAACUGCCUCCCCUUCUCCUUCGCACGCGUCCUCCGCAACGCUAAUCACGCGCCUGGUCCGUCGGCGCCGCCGCCGCACGCCCGCCCGCCGGAGCCGCUCACCCUACCCCGUCGCCGCCUCGGAUCCGCCUGUGGCCGCCGUCUCCCGCCGGAGCCGCCUCCUACGCCACCCAUCGCCGCCUCCUAUGCGCCCGCCGCUUCCCGCCGCCGCCUCCUACGCCACCACCCCUCCGCCGUCGUCGCAUCUGUCCUCAGCCAGAUCGGCGCCACCGUGGUCGCCGUCACAAACAUUCCUCCCUGUCCACCGCCUCCGCCUCCGCCGCCGACGCCCCACCCAGGAGCAGGAUUGAGAACGAGAAGACAACUUUCGAUUCGUCUGUUCUCGAGAUGAGGGACACGUUGACCUGAAAUUUUACCCACUCUGACCUCCUCCAUCGGCUGCGCUGUUGCUCAACCUACGCCACCGCCGGAUCGAUGGGAUCCAUUGGCCGCUCCACCUGCGCCAUCGCCGGGAACCACCGAUCGACCUCCUCCAUCGGCUGCGCAGCUGCCGGAUCGACGGGAGCCGCCAGCCGCUCGACCUGCGCUGUCAUAGGGAGCCGUCGGUUGCGCCGCCGCUCCACCUGCGCCACCGCCAGAUCGACGGGAGCCACCCGCUUUCCCCCUCCCGUGCACCUCUACCUGGGAUAAAUUGAUUGAGCAGCUUCAAAGCAGACGCCUCCCUCCGCAUCUCCGUUCCGCUCUCUCCCCUUCGACCACCUCCACCACCAUCGCACGCCGCAUCGCCUCUCCAAUCUCUCCCCGGUGGCUGCGAAUCAAUCCCAGCUGGAUAACACUCAUCCCUCAUGCCAUCUACCUCUCCAGUAUAAUAUACUUCUAGGCAUAUGAUUUUCUCGGUGAUGCAUUUAUUAACACGAUUGCAGAUACUGCAUGUGUUGCAGUUGAUGUAUGAGUAUACUUUCCUGAAGAAGAGGUAGCUGAUUUGUGUAGUUCACACAACAUAAGCAGCAGUUGUCUAAUCCCUUGGAUAAAACCAUAUCAACUACAUGAAGAUCUGGUCAGUUUUUGUCCUUGUAUAUAUGUUUUCCCCUCUUUCAUCUAUAAAUAUAUUUAUGUUUUUUAAAAUUUAGCUGGAGUAAGAUGAUCAAUUGCUCCCAGUUCCCAUGCAUUCAACACUUCCAUAAUCAGCACCUUCUUUCAUAUAUAGAUUAUUUCUAUUAAAUCUAUUCCAUUCCAUUCAGUACUAGGCAUAUGCAUUACAUUAGGCCCACACAGGAGAAACAUGUCAUAUAUUAAGUCAUAGAGUUCUGCCUUCAGAUUUGGCAAGAAAAAGAUAUUUAGAGUGGCUUCAGGUAAUCUUAUGCAAGCGGGCUAUAAUAUUGUUAUUAAUUUCACUUGGAAAGGGUCCUCUAUCUGUCCAUUGAAAUUCACAGUGCAUGUGUUCAGUUCAGUUUUUAUCUCUUUUCUGGAAAGAAUACCACAUAUCUCUACUUCAGAGAGUGCAGGCUUUGGCAGUUAUCUUUAAGAUGGGACCUGCCAUAGCCAUAGCCUUGAUCUCCUCUCUUCAAAUGGAUGGUGGAUGAGGUCUGUUUAAUUUGCUUGUCUUAGAUUGUGGUUUUACUUAUGUUCCUUUUGUUAUACAGUUCUGGUGAAAUUUUUUAUCUCUAGCUGCAUCAUACAUUUCGAUCUUUCCAAAUCUAUAGAUUGUGAUUUUAUCAAAAGGUGCUUGUGCUCCAGUGAAACCACUAGCCAUUUUGCUGGUACAGUGAUAUUAGGGCCAUACAUGAAUUAGGGUUUUGUUUUUUUUGAUAAACUUUGGUGAUGAGGUUCAGAUAUCUUCAUGUUACUGUAUUGAAGCUGCAAUCAUUUCUAAAUUUUCGGAUCUCAAUUCUUUUUCUGACGAUAGCAGUUUGGACUGUAUACAUGUCAUUUUGCUGGUUUCUUUUGCUUUAAGGGAAUCAGGGCAGGACAGAAGGAACACUGUGACCAUGUCCCCCAUGUACGCAUCAAGCUCCCAAGUGAUAAUCUGAAUGCCUGCUCAGAUCCUAGGCGCCGGCGGAAUCAACCUUGACCCAUCAAUGAUGGUCAUCCCCCAUUGACGAUCACAUGGUCCAUAGAGACCAUGGUGUCUGAUUUUUGACGGUUUAAGCUUUGUCUACACUUUUUCUUUCUCAGCAUUUGCUUCUGAUGGUUUAUACUUUAGAGUUGGGUAUUGGAUGUUCAUUCUCUAGAUGAAUUGGUCAUGUACUUGAAAUUUUGCACAUUUGGUACUGAAUCUGCACUCGAAGUGGGUUUCCUAAUUUGGUUAGGUACAUUGUAUAAGCUAGAUUCGCAUUUUGUACAAUUGAUUAAAGAAUAUGGUUUGUCUAUCUGCGUAGCUUCAAAUGAAUGAUGUUUAAUGCUAUUCUAUUUGUAAAUUUACAAAGCAAUAUAUUUGAUUGAAUUAA
This is a non-coding RNA of Oryza sativa Japonica Group (Japanese rice), 2476 nucleotides long. The record is from RefSeq and is a predicted model, not a curated record. NCBI's taxonomy places the organism in Eukaryota, Viridiplantae, Streptophyta, Magnoliopsida, Poales, Poaceae.